RNAcentral lists this long non-coding RNA (2325 nucleotides) under Capra hircus (goat). Its description in RNAcentral is "lncRNA (ENSCHIG00010008322.1)". Lineage: Eukaryota; Metazoa; Chordata; Mammalia; Artiodactyla; Bovidae. The record is from RNAcentral.
UAAACAAAACUUUUCAAAUUAUAAAAAUUUUCUCAUUCUUUUUUUCUUUUAAUUUUCUCAUUCUUAUACUUACUGAAAUAAUUAUAAAAUGGUAUACUGAAGCAAAAAGAAAAGCAAGCUCAAAGGAAGAAAUGAAGUAAGCUCAGAUUAAUAAAAUAUAAACUGUUUUCCAAGGACUUACUUGGCGAUCCAGCGGUUAAAACUCUAUACUUCCAUUGUAGGGGGCAUGGGCUGGAUCCCUGCUGGAGGAACUACGAUCUUACAUGCUACACAGCAUGGCCAAAAGGCAAAACAGACAAACAAAUGAAAGCAAGCCAACAAACAAAAAAACUGUCUUCCAUUAAAACAAUUAUUGUGUAUAUAAGAAUACCAAAAUGAUCUCUCAAAUUUUUUAUAUACUUGAAUAGUGGUUUUUGGUUUGAAAUAGAAGUGUUUAUAACUCUUAGAGGCACANNNNNNNNNNNNNNUACAUAGGUACAUGUAAGGCAUAUAUAAUAAAUAAUACAUACAUAAUGUGUAAUUCUUAGAGGCAUAAAACAUUUUAUACAGGAAUGAGGUGGUGAUCUUUAUUACUUAAACUUUUGAAAAAGAAACCUAUAAAUGGAGAAUAUUUGAAUGAAAGAUGUUAAAAGAUAAAACUGUGAUAUGUUAACAUUUAGAAGAGUUCAUCUUAGCAAAUAUUUGGCAGUGCCAAACCAGGAGUGGUUAGAAGUGUUCUGGUGACAGUAGUCAGGGGAAAGACUUUGAGAGAACAGCCUGGAAGCAAAGCAAAGAACUUAUUUGAUUGACUAAGCAAUCGCCUUUUUUAGGAAAGCCUUGUUGGCUUUGUAGUUGGUUGUUCUUAGGUUUUGAUUUCUUAUGCUUGAGAUAUUUACAGGAAUUUACUCUGUCUUAGGUUUGCUUAAGAAGGCUACCGAGACAUUGGAGCCAACUUAGUCUAAUAGAGGACUUGUCUGAUGAUAUAGAAUAUCUAAAUAUCAUCUGUUCUUUAACCAAAGAAACAUUUAUAAUGAGAAGUAUUUUGGAUGGAACAAAAAUAGAUUUUCUUCUGACAUCUGAAAUUGAAGUUCUUCAUCCUUGAAAACAAAUAAAACAGUGGGAAUGAAUAAGCCUUUUAUUAGCUGGUAGGUUGGGUGGGGGUAAAGUUUGUAAACNNNNNNNNNNNNNNNNNNNNNNNNNNNNNNNNNNNNNNNNNNNNNNNNNNNNNUCAAGGAUGGGUUCCCCUUGACUUGGGGGAAGCUAUAAUAGGAACACACUACUCUACACUGAGUUCUGAGAAGCUGCUUGAAGAUCAAUGUUAUUCAGUUGAGGAAAUACAUGAAGAAUUACUUAAAGAAAAUAGUGUGAAGGUUUUCUGAAAAUAUGGUGAUUAACACAGAAGGAAUGCAAACUGGUUCAUAUAACUUUUAGUAUUAAUUGUUAAAAAAUAUUGUCCAAAACCCAGAAAUAAGGCAUAGAGAGGUCAGCGUGUCUCUUCAAUGACACAUCAAAGUACUGUUUAACAGACUCACCAAAGCGUUAUUUCAUUAUCGAUUAUAGAAUCUAAGGGCCAGUAGACUUUUUCUGUAUAGAGCCAGAUAGUAAAUAUUCAGGUUUUAGGUUUGUUUUUUUUUCUGUUUUUGUUUUUUUAUAAUCCUUUAAAAAAAAAUGUAAAAGCCAUUCUUAACUCAUGGGUUACACUAAAUCAGACCAGCAGCUAAACUAGCCCGCUGACCACAGUCUGCUGACCAUCUUCUAAAGGAAGUCCCUUUGUUUGUUUCACUAUUCACUACUGACUAAAGGCUUAGAUUUUACGAAUUUACAUGUUAACGUGCAGAUUUUUGUCCAGUAAAGGUAAAGUUAAUUUGGUAACAUAUAACAGCAAAGUUAUUAUUUUAUCGUCAUAUGAUAUUAACUAGUUUUAUAUCUAACAGAACAAUCUUUUUUACAUUUGAAUUUUGAGAUUAUUUCAGGUUAACAUGCAGUUGUAACAAAUAAUACGGAGCUGCUGUGCAUCCCUUACGAAGUCUCUCCAGUGGUAACAUCUCUGCAGCGGCAAUACUGACCUGUAAUACAGCAUCAUGGCAAGGAUGUUGACAUGGAUAGAGUUAAGAUGCAGAACGUUUCCAUCAUGGUCAGUCUCCCUCAUGUGAUCUUUUUUUUUUAACUGAAGGAUAAUUGUUUUACAGAAUUUUGUUUUCUGUCAAACCUAACAUGAAUCAGCCAUACGUAUAUAUAUAUACAUAUAUCUCCUCCUUUUUGAACCUCCCUCCCAUUCCCCUCCCCAUCCCACCCUUCUAGGUUGAUACAGAGCCCCUGUUUGAGCUUCCUGAACCAUACAGCAAA